GGAAAUAUAGCAAAGAUGGACUAUGCGUUCGGCUGAAACCCGAAAGAUAUUGGAUCGUUACCAAUUGUUUCCAC
This 74-nucleotide transfer RNA is filed under the name uncultured marine phage. RNAcentral describes it as "tRNA-Phe". It matches the Rfam family "tRNA". From Rfam's summary of the family: Transfer RNA (tRNA) molecules are approximately 80 nucleotides in length. Their secondary structure includes four short double-helical elements and three loops (D, anti-codon, and T loops). The record is from RNAcentral.